AAUGGCCGCGGUAUUUUGACCGUGCAAAGGUAGCAUAAUCAUUAGUUCAUUAAUUGUGGACUUGUAUGAAUGGUUAGACGUAAUAUUAACUGUCUCAUAUUUAUAUUUAUAAUUUAAAUUUUGAGUUAAAAUGCUUAAAUUUUUUUAUAGGACGAGAAGACCCUAUAGAUCUUUAUUAUUAAUUAUGUUUAAUUUUUUUGUUUGUAUUUUUUAAAUAUAUUUAAUUUUUUUGUUGGGGUGACAUGAGGAUAUAAUUAACUCUUUAUUAUUAUAAUCAAUUAUUUUUGUUUUAUUGACCUUUUAUUAUUGUUAUAAGAUAUAGAUACCUUAGGGAUAACAGCGUAAUUUUUCUUGAGAGUUCCUAUCGACAGAAAAGAUUGCGACCUCGAUGUUGGAUUAAGAUUAUUAUUUGGUGUAGAUGCUUUAUAAAUAAGUCUGUUCGACUUUUAAAAUCUUACAUGAUCUGAGUUCA
This 472-nucleotide ribosomal RNA is filed under the name Lopaphus sp. 2 SB-2021. RNAcentral describes it as "partial large subunit ribosomal RNA". It matches the Rfam family "Bacterial large subunit ribosomal RNA", at positions 1926 to 2613 of the family's 2925-position model. Lineage: Eukaryota; Metazoa; Arthropoda; Insecta; Phasmatodea; Lonchodidae. The record is from RNAcentral.